Molecule: ribosomal RNA, 394 nt
Filed under: uncultured bacterium
Lineage: Bacteria
Description: partial 16S ribosomal RNA
Rfam family: Bacterial small subunit ribosomal RNA
Source: RNAcentral
AUACGUAGGGGGCUAGCGUUAUCCGGAAUUACUGGGCGUAAAGGGUGCGUAGGUGGUUUCUUAAGUCAGAAGUGAAAGGCUACGGCUCAACCGUAGUAAGCUUUUGAAACUAAGAGACUUGAGUGCAGGAGAGGAGAGUAGAAUUCCUAGUGUAGCGGUGAAAUGCGUAGAUAUUAGGAGGAAUACCAGUUGCGAGGGCGGCUCUCUGGACUGUAACUGACACUGAGGCACGAAAGCGUGGGGAGCAAACAGGAUGAGAUACCCUGGUAUUCCACGCCGUAAACGAUGAGUACUAGCUGUCGGGGGUUACCCCCCUCGGUGGCGCAGCUAACGCAUUAAGUACUCCGCCUGGGAAGUACGCUCGCAAGAGUGAAACUCAAAUGAAUUGACGGGG